GACCGCGUAGCUCAGUUGGCAGAGCAUUGGACUAGUAUUCCGAUCCAAAGGUCGUAGGUUCGAUUCCCACCGUGGCCA
RNAcentral lists this transfer RNA (78 nucleotides) under Paramuricea clavata. It matches the Rfam family "tRNA". From Rfam's summary of the family: Transfer RNA (tRNA) molecules are approximately 80 nucleotides in length. Their secondary structure includes four short double-helical elements and three loops (D, anti-codon, and T loops). Further hydrogen bonds mediate the characteristic L-shaped molecular structure. tRNAs have two regions of fundamental functional importance: the anti-codon, which is responsible for specific mRNA codon recognition, and the 3' end, to which the tRNAs corresponding amino acid is attached (by aminoacyl-tRNA synthetases). tRNAs cope with the degeneracy of the genetic code in two manners: having more than one tRNA (with a specific anti-codon) for a particular amino acid; and 'wobble' base-pairing, i.e. permitting non-standard base-pairing at the 3rd anti-codon position. Lineage: Eukaryota; Metazoa; Cnidaria; Anthozoa; Malacalcyonacea; Plexauridae. The record is from Rfam by way of RNAcentral.